RNAcentral lists this long non-coding RNA (363 nucleotides) under Setaria viridis. Its description in RNAcentral is "long non-coding RNA (SVIR_LNC010315)". Lineage: Eukaryota; Viridiplantae; Streptophyta; Magnoliopsida; Poales; Poaceae. The record is from RNAcentral.
CAGAAGAGAUAACCAAUCUUGAAGGCCUUCGAUUUCUAAACUUGUCAAGAAAUAAUCUGUCCUGCGGUAUUCCUAAAAAUAUUGGUAGUUUGAAUGUUCUUGAGUCCCUUGACCUCUCAUUGAAUGAACUGUCAGGAGUCAUUCCUGUAGGCUUGAGUAAUAUGGUAUCCCUCAAUACAUUGAAUCUCUCAAACAACCAUUUAUCGGGGCAAAUACCCACAGGGAAUCAACUUCAGACCUUGAAUGACCCAUCGAUUUACAGCAACAAUCCUGGGCUCUGUGGACCUCCUUUGGAUAUUCCCUGCACAAAUGCUUCACCUGCACUGGACAAGAAAGACGGUAAAGAUUGUGACCAAUGGCUGU